Molecule: small RNA, 17 nt
Filed under: Arabidopsis thaliana (thale cress)
Lineage: Eukaryota; Viridiplantae; Streptophyta; Magnoliopsida; Brassicales; Brassicaceae
Description: ATSL248560
Source: RNAcentral
UUUUUUCUUCUUCUUAU